AACCCAUGGUGUGGGCAUUGGUUUCCUGAAUCUCUGAUAUGCUUCACCAAAACUCUCAUUGCUGUGCUGAGUGAAGCUAGAGAUUUGGUUCCUCAGUUU
This 99-nucleotide small nucleolar RNA is filed under the name Eutrema salsugineum. Its description in RNAcentral is "Plant small nucleolar RNA R71". It matches the Rfam family "Plant small nucleolar RNA R71". From Rfam's summary of the family: R71 is a member of the C/D box family of snoRNAs containing the C (UGAUGA) and D (CUGA) box motifs. Multiple nearly identical copies of this snoRNA have been identified in Arabidopsis, and it is thought to function as a 2'-O-ribose methylation guide for 18S ribosomal RNA. The record is from Rfam by way of RNAcentral. Lineage: Eukaryota; Viridiplantae; Streptophyta; Magnoliopsida; Brassicales; Brassicaceae.